AUACGUAGGGGGCGAGCGUUAUCCGGAUUUAUUGGGCGUAAAGCGUGUGUAGGCGGUUUGUUAAGUUUAAGAUUAAAGCCCGAGGCUUAACCUCGGUUCGUCUUAAAAACUGGCAGACUUGAGUGCAGUAGGGGCAAGUGGAAUUUCUAGUGUAGGGGUUAAAUGCGUAGAUAUUAGAAGGGACACCAGUGGCGAAGGGGGCUUGCUGGGCUGUUACUGACGCGGAGACACGAAGGCGUGAGAAGAAAAUAGGAUUAGAUACCCUAGUAGUCCACGCCGUAAACGAUGAGUUCUAAGUGUCGGGUAACCGGUGCUGAAGUUAACACAUGAAGUACUCCGCCUGAGUAGUACGGUCGCAAGGCUGAAACUCAAAUGAAUUGACGGGG
RNAcentral lists this ribosomal RNA (386 nucleotides) under uncultured bacterium. RNAcentral describes it as "partial 16S ribosomal RNA". It matches the Rfam family "Bacterial small subunit ribosomal RNA", at positions 523 to 918 of the family's 1533-position model. The record is from RNAcentral.